RNAcentral lists this ribosomal RNA (452 nucleotides) under uncultured bacterium. RNAcentral describes it as "bacterial SSU rRNA". It matches the Rfam family "Bacterial small subunit ribosomal RNA", at positions 340 to 786 of the family's 1533-position model. The record is from RNAcentral.
UACGGAAGGCAGCAGUGGGGAAUAUUGCACAAUGGGCGCAAGCCUGAUGCAGCCAUGCCGCGUGUAUGAAGAAGGCCUUCGGGUUGUAAAGUACUUUCAGUCGUGAGGAAGGUGUUAAGGUUAAUAACCUUAGCAAUUGACGUUAGCGACAGAAGAAGCACCGGCUAACUCCGUGCCAGCAGCCGCGGUAAUACGGAGGGUGCGAGCGUUAAUCGGAAUUACUGGGCGUAAGGGCACGCAGGCGGUUAAUUAAGUUGGAUGUGAAAUCCCCGGGCUUAACCUGGGAAUGGCAUUCAAGACUGGUUAGCUAGAGUCUUGUAGAGGGGGUAGAAUUCCAUGUGUAGCGGUGAAAUGCGUAGAGAUGUGGAGGAAUACCGGUGGCGAAGGCGGCCCCUGGGACAAAGACUGACGCUCAUGUGCGAAAGCGUGGGGAGCAAACAGGAUUAGAUACC